UUAUUUUAUUUUAUUUUUUGCGACUUUUUUCUUUUAACAAGGUAAAAAUCAAUGAGUGAUUUUUGAGAAACACUUACAAUUAAUGGUGAAUCCGAACUGCGGUCUUGAAGGCAAGAAGUUGUUGGUCAUGUUGAACCAAAGAACCUUAAUUUAGGUGCUAUGAUGGUGGUGAUAAAAGAAAUUUCCUGGUAGUUGUGUGAUAGAUUUUUUAAAUGCUGUUAUUUAGAGUGGUUGAGUUGAAGAAAGAAUGCAUAUGAUUGAAGUCACGUGACUAUUGUUCAAUGUAAUAUGUUCUUGAUAUCAUUAGCAAAUCUGGAAUAGUUUUUUGGUUAAUGGAGGAGGGCUAAUGGGCAAGAUUAAUGAGGCAAAAUGUUGAUGUUGGUUUAUUGAGAUCCAAGAUGACUCGUGUUAAGGCCCUAGAAAUUAAUCUGGCAUGGUUUAUUUUCUCUGGAAGGGCACAAUGAAAUAUGAAGCAUAUAAUAAAAAUGGAUCAUACAUCCAGAAUCAACAGCAUGACUCUGUGAAAACUGACAUUGGGACUAAACAAAUGCAAAACCAUACCUGUACCAAUGACACAAAAAGAAGAAAAUAAUCUCUUAGUUUGAUCACUCAAUCCACUACAUGUUAGUUUGAUAACAAAUGCAAAACCAUACCCGUAUCAUGUUAAAGAACCGUAUAAUCCGCUACACUAUUUUGCAUUGUGCUAGACCAAGUUUGAAUCUUGUCACCCAAUUGACCGGGAUUGAACAGACAAGACUCAACCAGAUUAAUUCUUAAAGGCAUUAACACUUUCACUUCCAGACGCAGGUAUGAACUGCCCGUCUGCCCCCCAAUCCCCAUCAACUUUUGACCUCCGGCCAGAUGCAAACAACCCUCUCGAAUAAAAAGGAACAAAGCCCAGAAAACACUUCAAGAAGAUGAAAGAAAACCACCAUCAAACCGGAUAUUAAA
RNAcentral lists this long non-coding RNA (951 nucleotides) under Phoenix dactylifera (date palm). RNAcentral describes it as "long non-coding RNA (PDAC_LNC016813)". Lineage: Eukaryota; Viridiplantae; Streptophyta; Magnoliopsida; Arecales; Arecaceae. The record is from RNAcentral.